RNAcentral lists this ribosomal RNA (397 nucleotides) under uncultured bacterium. RNAcentral describes it as "bacterial SSU rRNA". It matches the Rfam family "Bacterial small subunit ribosomal RNA", at positions 28 to 429 of the family's 1533-position model. The record is from RNAcentral.
GACGAACGCUGGCGGCGUGCUUAACACAUGCAAGUCGAGCGGUAAGGCCCUUUCGGGGGUACACGAGCGGCGAACGGGUGAGUAACACGUGGGUGACCUGCCCUCAGCUCUGGGAUAAGCCUGGGAAACCGGGUCUAAUACUGGAUAUGACUCCAUGACGCAUGUUGUGGGGUGGAAAGCCUUGUGCGGCUGAGGAUGGGCCCGCGGCCUAUCAGCUUGUUGGUGGGGUGANGGCCCACCAAGGCGACGACGGGUAGCCGGCCUGAGAGGGCGACCGGCCACACUGGGACUGAGACACGGCCCAGACUCCUACGGGAGGCAGCAGUGGGGAAUCUUGCGCAAUGGGCGAAAGCCUGACGCAGCGACGCCGCGUGAGGGAUGACGGCCUCGGUGUAAC